CUACGGGGGGCACCAGUGAGGAAUUUUGCGCAAUGGGGGGAGCCCUGACGCAGCAACGCCGCGUGAGUGAUGAAGGCUUUCGGGUCGUAAAGCUCUGUCAAGUGGGAAGAACCUAUGCAGUGUUAAUAUCACUGUAUACUGACGGUACCACUGAAGGAAGCACCGGCUAACUCCGUGCCAGCAGCCGCGGUAAUACGGGGGGUGCAAGCGUUAUUCGGAAUCAUUGGGCGUAAAGGGCACGUAGGCGGCUUGGUAAGUCAGAUGUGAAAGCCCGGGGCUUAACCCCGGAAGUGCAUUUGAUACUGUCAGGCUUGAGUAUGGAAGAGGGAAGUGGAAUUCCUGGUGUAGAGGUGAAAUUCGUAGAUAUCAGGAGGAACACCGGUGGCGAAGGCGACUUCCUGGACCAAUACUGACGCUGAGGUGCGAAGGCGUGGGUAGCAAACAGGAUUAGAUACCCGCGUAGUC
This 465-nucleotide ribosomal RNA is filed under the name uncultured bacterium. RNAcentral describes it as "partial 16S ribosomal RNA". It matches the Rfam family "Bacterial small subunit ribosomal RNA", at positions 339 to 795 of the family's 1533-position model. The record is from RNAcentral.